RNAcentral lists this small RNA (117 nucleotides) under Marmota monax (woodchuck). The record is from RNAcentral. Lineage: Eukaryota; Metazoa; Chordata; Mammalia; Rodentia; Sciuridae.
GCCAUGGUGGCGCAUGCCUGUAAUCCCAGCGUCUCGGGAGGCUGAGGCAGGAGGAUCCUGAGUUCAGCCUCAGCAAAUUAUCAAGGCCCAAAGCAACUCAGUGAGACUCUGUCUCUA